RNAcentral lists this long non-coding RNA (2205 nucleotides) under Canis lupus familiaris (dog). Its description in RNAcentral is "lncRNA (ENSCAFG00845029182.1)". The record is from RNAcentral. Lineage: Eukaryota; Metazoa; Chordata; Mammalia; Carnivora; Canidae.
UUUUUUAUUUUUAUUUUUUAAAAGAUUUUAUUUCUUUAUUCAUGAAAGACAGAGAGGCAGAGAGGCAGAGACAUAAGCAGAGGGAGAAGCAGGCUUCAUGCAGGGAGCCUGAUGUGGGAUUCAAUCCCAGAACUCUGGGAUCAUUCUCCAAGCCAAAGGCAGAUGCACAACCGCUGAGCUAUCCAGGCAUUCCUGUUGGGUCUUUUUAAAAAAUCCAUUCAGGGGAUCCUUGGGUGGCUCAGUGGUUUUAGUGCCUUCCUUCGGCCCAGGGUGUGAUCCUGGAGUCCCAGGAUCGAGUCCUACAUCAGGAUCCCUGCAUGGAGCCUGCUUCUUCCUCUGAUUGUGUCUCUGCCACUCUCUCUGUGUGUGUCUCUCUUGAAUAAAUAAAUAAAUAAUAUUUUUUAAAAAAUCCAUUCAGCUACUCUUUGUGUUUUAAUUUAAUGAAUUUAGUCCAUUUAUAUUUAAUGUGAUUACUGAUAACAAAGUGGCAAUAGUAAGCCAUCACCUAAUUGUUUUGUAUUUCCAUUCUUUCACCCUCUGUUUCUGCCUGUUAUUGUAACUCGCUUUUCUGUGGGGCUGGGCUCUGUUUCCCUUUUAUCUUUUGUGCCUCUACUUUAGAUAUUUGCUUUGUGGUUACCAUGAGGCUAACAUGAGAUGUCUCAUAGAUGAAAUAAUUUUAAGCUGAUAGAAACUUCACUUACAAAAUUCUCACUUGUUACCCCUUUUAUAUUUUUGAUAACACUGUUUUUCUUUUAAAUUGUAUAGUCUUGGGAUCCCUGGGUGGCGCAGCGGUUUAGCGCCUGCCUUUGGCCCAGGGCGCGAUCCUGGAGACCCGGGAUCGAAUCCCACAUCGGGCUCCCGGUGCAUGGAGCCUGCUUCUCCCUCUGCCUGUGUCUCUGCCUCUCUCUCUCUCUCUCUCUCUCUGUGACUAUCAUAAAUUAAAAAAAAAAUAAAUAAAAAAUAAAUUGUAUAGUCUUUAAUUAAUUAUAAUAGCUAUAAUUAUUUUAAUACUCACAUUGACCUUUAUAUUAUAGCUAAGUGGUUAAUAUUCCAUUGUAACCUUACUCAUACGUUCUCAUGUCACGAUUAGUAUCCUUUCACUUCAGCUGAAAGAAGACUUCUCGGCUUUCUCAUAAGGAGGGUCUAGUGUGACAAACUAGCUCAGCUUUUGUCUGGAAAAGUCUACUUCUUCAUUUCUGAAGGAUAACCUUACCAGAGAGAGUAUUUUUGGCUGGCAAUUUUUUUUCUUACAACACUUGUCAUCCCACUCUCUCUUGGCCUGUAGGAUUUCUGCUGAGCAAUCUACUGAUCAUCCAGUGAAGGUUCCUUUGGCAGUUAUAAUAUUUUCUUCUCUGGGUACUUUUAGGAUUAUCUCUAUGUGAUUUUUGACAGUUUUAUUAUAAUGAAUGUAUCUUGGGGAAAACCUUUUGGCAUUGAGACACAAUGGUCUGUCAGCUUCCUGAACUUGGAUGUCCAAGUUUCUCUCCAGGUUUGGGAAGUUUCAGCCAUUAUUUCUUAGAUUAAAAAAAAGCAUAGAGCUUAAGAUUUUAUUUAUUUAUUUGACACAGAGCACAAGCAAGGGGAAUGGCAGAGGGAGAGGAAGAAGCAGGAUCCUUGCUAAGCAGAGAGCCUGAUGCAGGGCUCUAGGAUCCCGACCAGAGCCAAAGACAGCCACUUAACUAACAGCCACCCAGAUGCCCUUCAUGCUUCUCCUUCUGGAACUGUAAUUUUUCUGAUAUAUGUAUUUUUGAUGGAGUCCCAUAGAUAGUCUAUGCUUUUGUAAUGCUCUUUCAAAGUUCCUAUCCUGUAGCUCACUUAUUCUAUCUUCUAUUUUAUCCACUCUGCUGUGGAUGCGUUUUUCAUCCCAUUCAUGGAAUUCUUUAAUCCCAGAAUUUGUUUCUUUUUUUCUCUUUAUUGUUUCUGAAAAAAAAAUCCUUUGUAUGUUUUCUUUGGUCUCCUUAUCAGCUAGAUCACAAACUUUAGCCUUUAUGUUUGGUUAUUGGAGGAUUAUUGUUAGAUUAUUGUUACCUUUUGGUGAUGACAUGUUCCUUGAUUCUUCAUGUUCCUUGUAGUUUUAUGUUGCUGCUCUGAUAUGUGGAGUGGUGAACACCACCUUAGUCUUUGCAAAUUGCCUUCAGGUGGGAUAUACUGUUAGAUCUGGAUGUUCUCUGUCCCUUUGUGGAUACAUUUGCUCCAUGCUUCUGC